UGGCAUAGUAGUUAAGCACUAGGCUGUUAACCAAGAGGUCGGCAGUUCGAAUCCGCC
This 57-nucleotide transfer RNA is filed under the name Loxodonta africana (African savanna elephant). It matches the Rfam family "tRNA", at positions 8 to 63 of the family's 71-position model. Rfam says of the family: Transfer RNA (tRNA) molecules are approximately 80 nucleotides in length. The record is from Rfam by way of RNAcentral. Lineage: Eukaryota; Metazoa; Chordata; Mammalia; Proboscidea; Elephantidae.